GAUGAACGCUGGCGGCGUGCCUAAUACAUGCAAGUCGAGCGAACGGACGAGAAGCUUGCUUCUCUGAUGUUAGCGGCGGACGGGUGAGUAACACGUGGAUAACCUACCUAUAAGACUGGGAUAACUUCGGGAAACCGGAGCUAAUACCGGAUAAUAUUUUGAACCGCAUGGUUCAAAAGUGAAAGACGGUCUUGCUGUCACUUAUAGAUGGAUCCGCGCUGCAUUAGCUAGUUGGUAAGGUAACGGCUUACCAAGGCAACGAUGCAUAGCCGACCUGAGAGGGUGAUCGGCCACACUGGAACUGAGACACGGUCCAGACUCCUACGGGACGCAGCAGUAGGGAAUCUUCCGCAAUGGGCGAAAGCCUGACGGAGCAACGCCGCGUGAGUGAUGAAGGUCUUCGGAUCGUAAAACUCUGUUAUUAGGGAAGAACAUAUGUGUAAGUAACUGUGCACAUCUUGACGGUACCUAAUCAGAAAGCCACGGCUAACUCCGUG
Molecule: ribosomal RNA, 497 nt
Filed under: uncultured bacterium
Lineage: Bacteria
Description: partial 16S ribosomal RNA
Rfam family: Bacterial small subunit ribosomal RNA
Source: RNAcentral